CCUACGGGAGGCAGCAGUGGGGAAUUUUGGACAAUGGGCGCAAGCCUGAUCCAGCAAUGCCGCGUGAGUGAAGAAGGCCUUCGGGUUGUAAAGCUCUUUUGUCAGGGAAGAAACGGCUGAGGUUAAUACCUUUGGCUAAUGACGGUACCUGAAGAAUAAGCACCGGCUAACUACGUGCCAGCAGCCGCGGUAAUACGUAGGGUGCAAGCGUUAAUCGGAAUUACUGGGCGUAAAGCGUGCGCAGGCGGUUUUGUAAGUCUGACGUGAAAUCCCCGGGCUCAACCUGGGAAUUGCGUUGGAGACUGCAAGGCUGGAGUCUGGCAGAGGGGGGUAGAAUUCCACGUGUAGCAGUGAAAUGCGUAGAGAUGUGGAGGAACACCGAUGGCGAAGGCAGCCCCCUGGGUCAAGACUGACGCUCAUGCACGAAAGCGUGGGGAGCAAACAGGAUUAGAUACCCUGGUAGUCCACGCCCUAAACGAUGUCUACUAGUUGUCGGGUCUUAAUUGACUUGGUAACGCAGCUAACGCGUGAAGUAGACCGCCUGGGGAGGUACGGUCGCGAGAUAACUACAANAGAGUAGACGGCGUGAGAGNGCCGACGGACGACGACGAGGGAGGAGG
Molecule: ribosomal RNA, 620 nt
Filed under: uncultured bacterium
Lineage: Bacteria
Description: bacterial SSU rRNA
Rfam family: Bacterial small subunit ribosomal RNA (bases 1-542)
Source: RNAcentral